CACAUAUACAUUUCGCUUCUUUCUUCUUUCUUUUAUUCAAUCAAUAAAUUAACAGAGAUCUUUGUUCGGGUCUUAAAAUAGAUUUACAUAUAAAUUAUCAUGUCGCUUGGUCUUUUUCCCUUUUAUUGUCCAACGGUUUUGGGUAGUUAAUCAAAUUCCCUAAUUCCAAACCGCCAUGUCUCAACUUAUAAAUGCUUUUGAUUCUCACACCUUUUUCCCAGUUUCGAUCUCUAUUUUUCUCAAAAUGUGUGAUAAUAAUCUUAGCGUUUUGCAAGAUAUUGAAUCUUGGCAGGAUGAAGAGCCAACUGUUGUGCCACCUUUAAUGUGCGCCGAAGCCGUGCGUUUGAAUCGUUUUUCCAUUGUUUGCGUUCUUGUUAACCCAGAGAAACAGAGUAUGAGUGCGUUGAUUAAUCAGAUGUUUUGCAUUUGGGGCUUAACUGAUGAAGUCAUUGGUCGGGUUAUUGACUCCAGGAAGUUCCAGUUUGUGUUCCAGACAGAGGAGGCCCUAAACAGAGUUUUGGAAAAAAGUCCUUGGUAUUUUGCUGAUAGGUCGAUCGUUUUGAAGCGUUGGGCUGCCACCUUUACUGAAGAAAGCUUAAAAGAAGGUUCAGUUCUGGGUUCAGAUAAGGGGAAUCCCUCCCCAUUAUCUAUCGAGAGCAAUAAUUGAUUUCGUUGGAGACAAACUUGGAGAAGUUGUUGACGUUGAAUUUGACGACUCAACAAACCUUACGGAUUAUGUUUGGUGUUGGUGAGAUUUACAUGCUGUCUUUUCGUUAUGAUCGUCUAAUGAGUUUCUGCAACAAGUGUGGAAUGUUGACACAUGAUGUGAAGGAAUGUCUUUUGCAUACUGAUGAAGAUGCAUGCAAAUGUAAAUUAAGAGAUGUGCUUUGUGGAGAUAUGUGGAAUAUUACUUCGCUGUAUUGAAUCUUAGAUCCUACAAAUAUACUCUCUGAAAUUCUAGAUAGGAAACAUUACCAGAGGAGAUCAAUGAGUUAUUGAGAAAGAAGAUAUGUUCUCUAGCCUCCUCAAAUGAAGCCUUGAAUGAAGAAUCCGGCUAGGAAGACAGAGGAGAGGGAACCACCGUACCAUCCCAGAUCUAACCUCCGCCGUCGCAAAAGAAUCACUCUAGAAACCGAAGAUGACAAGCUUCCGCCCCGAUGACAGACAAGCGAGAUUCCGACAGUGCCCUUGCCGUCCUCUAACGGAGACCAACCGUCGUCUCCCCGACGAGUCACCAGAGCAUGUCGCUCUCGCAUGGACCUAGACACUACCUAUCACCACCGACAAUAGCUAUUCCGUCUGUUGUAGCGCCUCGCAUGGGAGGGAGAGAACACUACCAUCGCCGGCUAGGUCACCGAACAAAUUGCAGCGCCUCCACCCUCGAUGAAACCGAGAAAGUGAGUUGGGAGAGAAAGUUUGUGUGCACGUUUAUUACAACCGCCACUCAAAGGCCUCAAUAUUAGAGAUCCUCAAUUAGGUUUAACGGUUGUUAAAACGGAUAAUGAUAUUCCAUAAUGAAAAAGAAUCCACAGAGAGACGGAGAAAUUUGAAGAAGAGAUGAUAAAAAAAACUGAAAGGAAAGAAGAACAAUGGUCAUUUGAUUUUAAGCACAAAAACAAACGAUGUAUAAAUUCGUUAAAAGAGUGUAAUUUUGAAAAGUUGUAACGUUUGAGAAGUGACGAUUCAAAAAGAAAGAAAACUAAAGAG
This 1707-nucleotide long non-coding RNA is filed under the name Brassica napus (rape). Its description in RNAcentral is "long non-coding RNA (BNAP_LNC013822)". Lineage: Eukaryota; Viridiplantae; Streptophyta; Magnoliopsida; Brassicales; Brassicaceae. The record is from RNAcentral.